CAAACUGGAGAUGGCGACCGGCGCACGGGUGAGUAACACGUAUCCAACCUGCCGAUAACUCGGGGAUAGCCUUUCGAAAGAAAGAUUAAUACCCGAUGGCAUAAUAGAACCGCAUGGUUUGAUUAUUAAAGAAUUUCGGUUAUCGAUGGGGAUGCGUUCCAUUAGGUAGUUGGUGGGGUAACGGCCCACCAAACCUUCGAUGGAUAGGGGUUCUGAGAGGAAGGUCCCCCACAUUGGAACUGAGACACGGUCCAA
This 255-nucleotide ribosomal RNA is filed under the name uncultured bacterium. Its description in RNAcentral is "partial 16S ribosomal RNA". It matches the Rfam family "Bacterial small subunit ribosomal RNA", at positions 77 to 334 of the family's 1533-position model. The record is from RNAcentral.